UAAGGAAUAUUGGUCAGUGGACGCAAGUCUGAACCAGCCAUGCCGCUUGAAGGAUUAAGGCCCUCUGGGUUGUAAACUUCUUUUAUAGGGGAAGAAAUGUGACGGUUCUCCGUCACUUGACGGUACCCUGGGAAUAAGCACCGGCUAACUCCGUGCCAGCAGCCGCGGUAAUACGGCGGGUGCAAGCGUUAUCCGGAUUCACUGGGUUUAAAGGGUGCGUAGGUGGGCAGGUAAGUCAGUGGUGAAGUCUUCCGGCUUAACCGGGAAACUGCCGUUGAUACUAUUUGUCUUGAAGAUUGCGGAGGUAAGCGGAAUAUGUCAUGUAGCGGUGAAAUGCUUAGAUAUGACAUGGAACACCAAUUGCGAAGGCAGCUUACUACACAAUCAUUGACACUGAGGCACGAAAGCGUGGGUAGCGAACA
Molecule: ribosomal RNA, 422 nt
Filed under: uncultured bacterium
Lineage: Bacteria
Description: bacterial SSU rRNA
Rfam family: Bacterial small subunit ribosomal RNA
Source: RNAcentral